UACGUAGGGGGCAAGCGUUGUCCGGAAUCAUUGGGCGUAAAGCGCGUGUAGGCGGCCCGGUAAGUCCGCUGUGAAAGUCCAGGGCUCAACCCUGGGAUGCCGGUGGAUACUGUCGGGCUCGAGUCCGGAAGAGGAGUGUGGAAUUCCUGGUGUAGCGGUGAAAUGCGCAGAUAUCAGGAGGAACACCAAUGGCGAAGGCGGAUCUCUGGGCCUUACCUGACGCUCAGGCGCGAAAGCUAGGGGAGCGAACUGG
Molecule: ribosomal RNA, 253 nt
Filed under: uncultured bacterium
Lineage: Bacteria
Description: partial 16S ribosomal RNA
Rfam family: Bacterial small subunit ribosomal RNA
Source: RNAcentral